Molecule: long non-coding RNA, 1824 nt
Organism: Haemorhous mexicanus (house finch)
Lineage: Eukaryota; Metazoa; Chordata; Aves; Passeriformes; Fringillidae
Exons: 2
Source: RefSeq, a predicted model, not a curated record
CGCCUCUCGUUCCCACAAUGCCCGGGAAAAGGGAGGGGGCAAAUCCCACCGGGUAUAAAGGCCCUCAGAGCAGCUGCAGCUGUUUGGCUCCUCUGACUCUAAUUCAAGGGGGGUAAGUGGCUUGUUAUAGAAGAAAACUUUUCAGGGAAAUAACAGCACUUUUUUUUUUUCCCUAUAACUGCUUGGAGCAGAAGAACAGAAAACAGAAAAGCGGGGACUAUAAAGUAUUGACCUGGGAAAAGAACUCCCAAGAUUGCCUGCAUAUAGACUGUAAGCCGUAACGUAACCAAACAAGAGUUAAAGAGCCUGUUACAGCAAGCAAACAAACAGUGAGAUCUUUAUUAAGUGGACGCGAGACUAACUUUACCACUUGGUAAGCAGCGGCGCGGUAAAAGUAACAUUUAGCUCCCCCGCUGGGAGCAGAAACUGCUGCGGCCACUUUGUGCUUUUUUUUUCUGCAUCGCAGCCGGCAAUUGCAUUCACAGCGGUGCCGGCGGGAGUCGACCCUGUAUUACCCGUGCCGACCCCUCCCGUGGCCGCCUCCCCAGCAGAGCCCGUGAGAGCUCCGGCCGCGGCUGUCCUGCCAUCUCCCGUGUCGGCUCCACCAGCAGCUGUCUGCGCCUGCACUGCAGCUUUCGGCACCCGGAAAGGACGCGGCUGCCGUCCCCAGCCCGGCAAGAGAUGCAUUUCCUUCAGCUUUGCAGCCCCCACAGACUCCCGCGGCGACCCCGCCUUCGCCCGCCGCGCCGGUGAAGAAGAUUAGAGUCGACAAUAGCGACCACCAAGCGGAACCGUCUUCAGAGCCACCCCUCUGCCCCCAACAGUAGCUGCCAGCGCCUGCGAUCAGCCGAGAUUCCCUCCCGAACUUUUCCAACUGUCCCGAGACUGCCCCUGCGGGGGCAGCUGAGACAGGGGAGAAGACGAGGAGGAGGGGGGGGACGCCAUCCUGCCCCUGCGGUGCCGCAAGGGCCUGUGUAAAAACUCAGCGUUUUUUGCAAGCCGAUUCGAGUCUAGUUUAGAAGUUCCCAUUAAAGUUUAAAAUGCUUAAAUUCCCCUGCUCGCCCCAGCGGCCUAGAGAAAGUAACUCCUAAAAGUUCUGCCUCUGUUCCCCAGCCCGGGUGGGGGGGGUGAGAGUAGUACCAAGGAGCUGUAAAUUAACCCUGUGAGUACACCAAAGGGAACUGCAUAACUGUAAAGAAUCUAAAAGCCUGUGUUAUAUAGACCUUUUUAACCAUUCACAGUCUAUUUACUCCCAGCUCUCUGACUUGCAGAGGUUAACUAGAAACUUACAAGUAAAAUUAAGCUUUAGUGUUGAUAGAUAGCUCAAAUCUCUAAGCCUAAGAUUAUAGCUAUGUUUUAUUGUUAAAGCUAAUAUUAUAAUAAGUGUUAUAGCUUUGUUAAUAGUAUUAGUUUUGCUUUGGUUUUGCAUGUGCUUAUAAAAAAUAGUAUAAAAAAUAAUAUUUACUGCAUUUAAUCAAACAUUGCUUGUGCAAAAAGAAAACAGGGGAAUUGUUGGGAAUUGGUUACAUUACAAAGGUCACGUAGACAUGCUCUGGAUAGCUGAGAAUUGGAAAAAUACUGGCCAAGCUAAUCUGAGGCCCUGCAACUGCAAGGCCGCAGUGGCCUUGGGUAUAGCUGUAGUCUGAUAACAGGAUGAUGUAGCCGAGAGCAGAGCAUGAGAAAAGAGAGAUGUAAGUUGUAAAGAAUGAAGAAGUAAGAAUACCCAAUAGACUGCUUAGCUUACAGAAUAUGCAUGAGCUUAUUACAUGUUGUGCUUAAAUGUCUGAUGCUCUAAUCAAUAAACAAAGCUUGCUGAUCCUCACA